GAGUUUGAUCCUGGCUCAGAUUGAACGCUGGCGGCAUGCCUUACACAUGCAAGUCGAACGGUAACAGGUUAAGCUGACGAGUGGCGAACGGGUGAGUAAUACAUCGGAACGUGCCCAGUCGUGGGGGAUAACUACUCGAAAGAGUAGCUAAUACCGCAUACGACCUGAGGGUGAAAGCGGGGGAUCGCAAGACCUCGCGCGAUUGGAGCGGCCGAUAUCAGAUUAGGUAGUUGGUGGGGUAAAAGCCCACCAAGCCAACGAUCUGUAGCUGGUCUGAGAGGACGACCAGCCACACUGGGACUGAGACACGGCCCAGACUCCUACGGGAGGCAGCAGUGGGGAAUUUUGGACAAUGGGCGCAAGCCUGAUCCAGCCAUGCCGCGUGCGGGAAGAAGGCCUUCGGGUUGUAAACCGCUUUUGUCAGGGAAGAAAAGGUUCUGGUUAAUACCUGGGACUCAUGACGGUACCUGAAGAAUAAGCACCGGCUAACUACGUGCCAGCAGCCGCGGUAAUACGUAGGGUGCAAGCGUUAAUCGGAAUUACUGGGCGUAAAGCGUGCGCAGCGGUUAUGCAAGACAGAGGUGAAAUCCCCGGGCUCACCCUGGGAACUGCCUUUGUGACUGCAUAGCUAGAGUACGGUAGAGGGGGAUGGAAUUCCGCGUGUAGCAGUGAAAUGCGUAGAUAUGCGAGGAACACCGAUGGCGA
Molecule: ribosomal RNA, 705 nt
Filed under: uncultured bacterium
Lineage: Bacteria
Description: bacterial SSU rRNA
Rfam family: Bacterial small subunit ribosomal RNA
Source: RNAcentral